GCACAGCGGUGGAGCAUGUUGGUUUAAUUCGACGCAACGCGAAGAACCUUACCAGCUCUUGACAUGUCAGGUCGGUUUCCAGAGAUGGAUUCCUCCCAGCAAUGGGCCUGAACACAGGUGCUGCAUGGCUGUCGUCAGCUCGUGUCGUGAGAUGUUGGGUUAAGUCCCGCAACGAGCGCAACCCUCGUCGUUAGUUGCCAUCAUUAAGUUGGGAACUCUAGCGAGACUGCCGGUGACAAACCGGAGGAAGGUGAGGAUGACGUCAAGUCAGCAUGGCCCUUACGUCCUGGGCGACACACGUACUACAAUGCGAGGGACAGAGAGCAGCCAACCCGCGAGGGAGAGCGAACCUCUUAAACCCUGGCACAGUUCAGAUUGCAGGCUGCAACUCGCCUGCAUGAAGGAGGAAUCGCUAGUAAUCGCAGGUCAGCAUACUGCGGUGAAUCCGUUCCCGGGCCUU
RNAcentral lists this ribosomal RNA (460 nucleotides) under uncultured Planktothrix sp. Its description in RNAcentral is "bacterial SSU rRNA". It matches the Rfam family "Bacterial small subunit ribosomal RNA", at positions 923 to 1382 of the family's 1533-position model. The record is from RNAcentral. Lineage: Bacteria; Bacillati; Cyanobacteriota; Cyanophyceae; Oscillatoriales; Microcoleaceae.